Molecule: ribosomal RNA, 460 nt
Filed under: uncultured bacterium
Lineage: Bacteria
Description: partial 16S ribosomal RNA
Rfam family: Bacterial small subunit ribosomal RNA
Source: RNAcentral
CCUACGGGGGGCAGCAGUGAGGAAUAUUGGUCAAUGGCCGGAAGGCUGAACCAGCCAUGCCGCGUGAAGGUCAGUGCCCUAUGGGCGUUAAACUUCUUUUGUGCGGGAGCAAUAAUGGUCACGUGUGGCCAGACGAGAGUACCGUACGAAUAAGCAUCGGCUAACUCCGUGCCAGCAGCCGCGGUAAUACGGGGGAUGCAAGCGUUAUCCGGAUUUAUUGGGUUUAAAGGGUGCGUAGGCUGUGAGGUAAGUCAGCGGUGAAAUGCCCCCGGUCAACGGGGUGAAGUGCCAUUGAUACUGCCUGGCUGGAAUGCGGAUGCCGUGGGAGGAAUGUGUGGUGUAGCGGUGAAAUGCAUAGAUAUCACACAGAACACCGAUUGCGAAGGCAUCUCACGAAUCCGCGAUUGACGCUGAUGCACGAAAGCGUGGGUAUCAAACAGGAUUAGAUACCCUGGUAGUC